ACUCCUCCUUCACCAUCUUUUGAAGAAUGCGCUCCCCAUCUUAAAUUAUUUUUAAUAGAUCAGUAUAGUAGAAAUAUCAAAAAAAGUUCUUCAACAAAAUAGGGCCUAAAGAAAAUAGUACGUAUUACACACACAACUCUCUGUGCUAUAUCAUCUUCAAAUCGUAAUGCCCUCAACUAGCAUAGAAGAAAAUCAUAAAUAAUCUAUUAAAAAAUUAUAGUAGAAAUAAGUAAAAG
Molecule: long non-coding RNA, 236 nt
Filed under: Capsicum annuum
Lineage: Eukaryota; Viridiplantae; Streptophyta; Magnoliopsida; Solanales; Solanaceae
Description: long non-coding RNA (CANN_LNC006830)
Source: RNAcentral